Molecule: ribosomal RNA, 500 nt
Filed under: uncultured bacterium
Lineage: Bacteria
Description: partial 16S ribosomal RNA
Rfam family: Bacterial small subunit ribosomal RNA
Source: RNAcentral
AUUGAACGCUGGCGGCAUGCCUUACACAUGCAAGUCGAACGGCAGCACGGGAGCAAUCCUGGUGGCGAGUGGCGAACGGGUGAGUAAAGUAUCGGAACGUGCCCAGUCGUGGGGGAUAACGUAGCGAAAGUUACGCUAAUACCGCAUACGAUCUAUGGAUGAAAGCGGGGGAUCGCAAGACCUCGCGCGAUUGGAGCGGCCGAUAUCAGAUUAGGUAGUUGGGGGGGUAAAGGCUCACCAAGCCGACGAUCUGUAGCUGGUCUGAGAGGACGACCAGCCACACUGGGACUGAGACACGGCCCAGACUGCUACGGGAGGCAGCAGUGGGGAAGUUUGGACAAUGGGCGAAAGCCUGAUCCAGCCAUGCCGCGUGCAGGAUGAAGGCCUUCGGGUUGCAAACUGCUUUUGUACGGAACGAAAAGGUUUGGCCUAAUAAGCUGAGCUCAUGACGGUACCGUAAGAAUAAGCACCGGCUAACUACGUGCCAGCAGCCGCCGUAA